This 237-nucleotide long non-coding RNA is filed under the name Phoenix dactylifera (date palm). Its description in RNAcentral is "long non-coding RNA (PDAC_LNC015474)". Lineage: Eukaryota; Viridiplantae; Streptophyta; Magnoliopsida; Arecales; Arecaceae. The record is from RNAcentral.
AGGAAUGCUAUCUCACUAGAUAGUAAUGCUGUUUCUUACCAUCUAAUGCCAGAAUCCUAGUAUGACAGCAAUGGUAAAUAAUAACAUAAGAGCCACAUUUCCACCAGGCAGUAAAUCUUCCUUGGACUCAGGCAAUCUGCUUGUGCAUAAAAACAAGUAUUAGUGAUGUUAUCAUGGUCUUAGAGGAAGAAAAAUGCAGCUAAAAAUGUAAAGGUUACACUGUAAUAUAGGAAAAAG